AUUGAACGCUGGCGGCAGGCCUAACACAUGCCAGUCGAGCGGAUGAAGGGAGCUUGCUCCUGGAUUCAGCGGCGGACGGGUGAGUAAUGCCUAGGAAUCUGCCUGGUAGUGGGGGAUAACGUCCGGAAACGGGCGCUAAUACCGCAUACGUCCUGUGGGAGAAAGUGGGGGAUCUUCGGACCUCACGCUAUCAGAUGAGCCUAGGUCGGAUUAGCUAGUUGGUGGGGUAAAGGCCUACCAAGGCGACGAUCCGUAACUGGUCUGAGAGGAUGAUCAGUCACACUGGAACUGAGACACGGUCCAGACUCCUACGGGAGGCAGCAGUGGGGAAUAUUGGACAAUGGGCGAAAGCCUGAUCCAGCCAUGCCGCGUGUGUGAAGAAGGUCUUCGGAUUGUAAAGCACUUUAAGUUGGGAGGAAGGGCAGUAAGUUAAUACCUUGCUGUUUUGACGUUACCAACAGAAUAAGCACCGGCUAACUUCGUG
Molecule: ribosomal RNA, 484 nt
Filed under: uncultured bacterium
Lineage: Bacteria
Description: partial 16S ribosomal RNA
Rfam family: Bacterial small subunit ribosomal RNA
Source: RNAcentral